RNAcentral lists this non-coding RNA (26 nucleotides) under Mus musculus (house mouse). Lineage: Eukaryota; Metazoa; Chordata; Mammalia; Rodentia; Muridae. The record is from RNAcentral.
UAAUGGGACAUCAGUAAGAUCAGGCC